GAUGAAGAACGUAGCGAAAUGCGAUAAGUAAUGUGAAUUGCAGAAUUCAGUGAAUCAUCGAAUCUUUGAACGCACAUUGCGCCCGCUAGUAUUCUGGCGGGCAUGCCUGUCCGAGCGUCAUUUCAACCCUCAAGCCCCCGGGCUUGGUGUUGGGGAUCGGCGAGCCUCCGCGCCCGCCGUCCCCUAAAUCUAGUGGCGGUCUCGCUGUAGCUUCCUCUGCGUAGUAGCACACCUCGCACUGGGAAACAGCGCGGCCACGCCGUUAAACCCCCAACUUCUGAACGUUUGACCUCGGAUCAGGUAGGAAUACCCGCUGAACUUAAGCAUAUCAAUAAGCGGGG
RNAcentral lists this unclassified non-coding RNA (341 nucleotides) under soil metagenome. Its description in RNAcentral is "partial contains 5.8S ribosomal RNA, internal transcribed spacer 2, and large subunit ribosomal RNA". The stretch from base 1 to 120 matches the Rfam family "5.8S ribosomal RNA", at positions 35 to 154 of the family's 154-position model. The record is from RNAcentral.